GAUCAAUCAGCUGCAGAAAAAGAUACAGAAGACAACCAGCUGUCAAAAUAAAACAGGAAAGCAGUUUGACUAACAAACUCAAACUUGACAUAGAAAGCGUCACGAGGGAAGGCGAGGAAAAUAACACAAAAUAAACUCAGAGUUGGACUUUAACCUAGAAGUGAAGCCAUAAAUUCAAACUCCUCUUACUGGGACUGCAAAGCAGACAUCGGGCACUCAGGAGGCUGAUUUGUUUUAAGAUGAGGGGACUCACACUGCUUAUGGUGGGAAUUAUUCUGGCAGCACUGACAGAUCUGCCUUUGACAGACUUUUCAUUUGCAGAGGCUGGAUAUUUACAUAUGAGGCCAAUGGGAGGUACAAACGGGACGUCCAACUCAACAGUGCCACAAGAGGAAAGCGGUGAAAAUAAAGUUUUUGUGCAGUGGAAUGGCACCAUUAGACCAGUGGAAAGUGAUUUUGGGUUCCCUCCUACAGAGCCCCUCCAACAGAGCCCCCCGAAGGACACCAAAGGAAACACACAAAAGUAAAGACACAACAAACAGUUCAACUCACCAGAGCAAACACAUUUGAAGUCCUGGAGGAGAAAUACUGGCAUCAACGUGAAGAAGCCCCAGGCCAUUUAUUCAUUCUGCUGCUGCUUAUUUUAAUUGUAAAUUCUUUCUUUUCUUUUCUUUUUUAAACUACUGUGUGAAAACUUGAAAACUUGAACCUGCUGACUGGCCAUAGCUUUCCUCUGUGUAUGUGUGGCCCCCAGCCAUUUCUAAAUGUAUGUAUUUGGGUUUCAUAUGGGCUUGUUAUUAUAAAAUCUGACUUGAUUUUAAAUUUCGUGUCAAAUUCCAUAUAUAAACACAUUUAUAAAAUUUGGGGUUUUUGUUCCUGUUAAAAGGGAUGUUUUCCUUCCCACUGUCACUAAAGCACUUGCUCAUAGGGGAUCAUAUAAUUGUUGGGGUUUUCUCUGUUGUAUUAUUGUAAGGACUACCUUACAAUAUAAAAUACCCUGAGGCAACUGUUAUUGUGAUUUGGCGCUGCAUAAAUAAAUUAAAUAGACUUUGUUAGUUGUUUUUUCUUUAAACUGCCUAUUCGUCAACUACCCCUUACAAAGCACACAGUGUCUUGUCGGUCCUUUUUAACACCAGUUAAAUAAUAGCAAUAAUAAUGUAAAUAAUAAUAAAAUGAUAAUGUGAUUUAUUUAAUUUAUAUUUAAAAUUAACAAUUGAAAUAUUUUAAAAAUCACAAAUAAAAUGACCCUUUUCCUUUAGCCGUAACACUUAAGAGCCAGCAGGCAUUAAAUAGUCAUAAUAGAUUCACUGCUGUGAAAGUAACAAAUUGUAUAGAUGUUUGUGUUAAAAUUCAAAGCAAUCUAGAGACAUUCACACAGGGCACUUUAUUUUGUGUUUUUCCUUGUCAUUGUCCUUUACAGUAAAUCUCAACUUCUUAGUGUGAGCAGUGCUUCUUUGUGAAAUAUGACAGAAAACCAAACAACUUGGGGUUUUAUUGAUUUAAGACACAACUAUGAAAAUGUGGAACCAAUAAAAUCACAGUACUGCUUUACAUCGCAAAUACCUGCUUACACUCUAAAAAUGGAUAUGAAUACAAGAAAAUCUACUGUUUUCAAAUGAAGGUAAAUUUGAAAACAGUACAUUGCUGUCCGUCCGUCCGUCCGUGUAUAUAUGACUCAAUGCCCCGCACCUGGAUCCUGGAAUGCAUAGAAAUGUACUGCAUAGUUCUGCAUAGGGCUGAACCCCCUCAGUGAGAUCAUCAACAAGACUGGCUAUGGAUGCCGACUACAGAGUGGAGCAGUUGUCAGCCACUUCCUGUACAUGGAUGACAUCAGGCUGUAUGCCAAGAGUGAAUGAGACUGAUCCACACCACCAGUAUAUACAGCAAUGACAUCGGAAUGUCGUUUGACUGGAGAAAUGUAGUUGGAUGAUAACAAAGAGAGGGAAGGUAGUCAGAACUGAGGGGAUCGAACAACCAGAAUGCAACAUUGCAGGCACAGAGGACAGCCACAAUUACCUGGGGAUCCCAGCAGGUACAUGGGAACCAUGAAGAGGUCUGUAGAAAAGUACCUGCAGAGGGUCAGGCAAGUCCUGAGGAGUCAACAGAAUGGGAAGAACAAGAUCCGGGCUAUCAACACCUACCCCCUGCCCGUGAUCAGGUACCCUUCUGGGAUAAUAAGCUGACCAAAGAAGGAGAUAGAAGCCACUGACAUCAAGACAAGGAACUCCUGACCGUGCAUGGAGAGUUUCACCCCAAGUCCAGCACCCUGAGGCUGUACGCUAAACGGAAGGAAGAAGGCCAACGGACAUCGAUGAAUGCAUCUUCCUGAUGCAUUCGUGGAUGUCUGUUGGCCCCAACUGACCGCGUGCUCAGUGAAUACCUCAGGCAACAGAAACAUGAGGAAGAGGAGGAACCAUCAUGGAAGGAUGGUACGGCACGGUAUGUACCACAGGCAGAUAGAGGAAGUGGCUGGCAUCCAGAAAUCCUACCAGUGGCUGGACAAAGCUGGACUGAAAGACGGCACAGAGGCACUAAUCAUGGCAGCACAGGAACAAGCUCUGAGCACAAGAUCCAUAGAGGCUGGGGUCUAUCACACCAGGCAAGACCCCAGGUGCAGGCUGUGCAAAGAUGCCCCUGAGACAAUCCAGCCCAUAACAGCAGGGUGUAAGAUGCUAGCAGGCAGGGCAUACAUGGAACGCCAUAACCAAGUGGCCGGCAUACAGAAACAUCUGUGCCGACUAUGGCCUGGAAGUCCCGAAGUCAAAAUGGGACUUCCUUAUAAUAGAAAAGUCUAUUAUAACAUGUAGGGUGGUGGAGAAUGACCGAGCUAAGAUCCUGUGGGAAUUCCGGAUACAGACGGACAAAAUGGUGGUGGCUAACCAACCGGACAUAGUCGUGGUAGACAAACUGAAGAAGAUGGCUGUAGUGAUCGAUGUAGCGGUUCCCAACAUCAGCAACAUCAGGAAGAAGGAUAAUGAGAAGCUUGAGAAAUACCAAGGGCUCAGAGAAGAUGUGGAGGGUGAAGGUUCCCACUGGUAAUCGAAACACUAGGUGCAGUGACUCUAAAGCUAGGCGAGUGGCUCCAGCAGAUCCCGGGAACAACAUUGGACAUCUCUGUCCAGAAAAGCGCAGUCCUAGGAACAGCUAAGAUACUGCGCAGGACCCUCAAGCUCCCAGGCCUCUGGUAGAGGACCCGAGGAUAGACCGCCCGCAGGGGCGAGUGGGGAAUUCUAACAAAGAUGCCUUGAUUUUAAAAAAAAUAGAUAACUAACAGACGUUAAAAUAUUUCAAUAUAUUUCAAAUAAAGUCAUAAUUAGAGGGGACGCCCAUGAGAGCACUCAGCCUCACCAAAUUAACAUCUGCCCUGUUGUUGAGAAUAAAACAGACUUUGGGCAGGUAAGCAAACAAAUCUGAACAAAUUUGAACUUUGAUGUUAAACAAGAGCUGAAGUAAAACAGCCUCCACCUACAAACACAUGCAUUAUAAAACAGGUCUAAACGCUCACUGGAGGCUGAUUACAAAAUGAGAGGACUCACACUGCUCUGUUUGGUGGGAUUCAUUCUCACAGCUUCGCUGCAUGAAGGAAGCACAGCACCAGCAAAGAAUAAUUUGUGCCAUGGGUGCUGGAAUAGCUUUGAAGGUACACGUGAUGGAACAGAAUCAGCUGGGGGAAAUGACACACAGAACAAGACCUUGCAUCUUCAUCCAAAUAAUGCUACUCAUGCUGGAAAUGCCACAGAGGUUCAUCACAACAAUACAGCUGCAGCAAAACUGAUAGAAGACCCGUGAUGCUAAAAAUGUGGAAACAUGAAUCUUCACAGAGACAGACGACCGUGAUUCUGCUGGUGUUACUGUCUACUCUGAAUAAACACUAAAAUGAUGUUUUGAGAAAAAGAUUUUCUUAUUUGUUAACAUGUAUCCUAUAGGAUCAUUUAAAAUGUGUUUUUUAAACACAUUUAAGAGCUUAAACGUUCAUGUCCAAACACACAUAAAACACCUAUUCUGACAAAAUGAGUCGGUGCCACACUGACACUCUGCUGUCUUGCUUCUUCAUGAGUAUCAUCACUGUGGUUGAUCUAAAUUCCCAUCUUUUGUCCUUUUGCUGUUUUAAACACCAAAUCCACAAAAACGGUUUGUGACAAACUAACUCGACAUGACAGCACCUGUGUGUUACAGGAGCUGCUCCUGCUUUACAAAUUUACACCAUUAAUACAAAAUAACCUGACUCGCACUGCUGUAUUCUCACAGCAUCACAGAGACACUCAUAUCACUGAUGGAUGUUCACAGAGUUACUGAACAGAAAAAAUUAAAUGCAUAUAUAUUUAGAUUUUUGUAGUUUUAUAAUUUUUGGACCAGAUGGAAACACAAGCUUGACU
This is a long non-coding RNA of Oreochromis aureus, 4376 nucleotides long. NCBI's taxonomy places the organism in Eukaryota, Metazoa, Chordata, Actinopteri, Cichliformes, Cichlidae. The record is from Ensembl.